RNAcentral lists this ribosomal RNA (665 nucleotides) under fungal endophyte. RNAcentral describes it as "eukaryotic LSU rRNA". The stretch from base 235 to 388 matches the Rfam family "5.8S ribosomal RNA". Lineage: Eukaryota; Fungi. The record is from RNAcentral.
UUACUGAAAUGUAAUAACUUCUAUUGAAAGGUUCCAGAGUAGGCGCUACAACGCCGAAAUGACCUUCUCACCCUUGUGUACUCACUAUGUUGCUUUGGCGGGUCGACCUGGUUCCGACCCAGGCGGCCGGCGCCCCCAGCCUUAACUGGCCAGGACGCCCGGCUAAGUGCCCGCCAGUAUACAAAACUCAAGAAUUCAUUUUGUGAAGUCCUGAUAUAUCAUUUAAUUGAUUAAAACUUUCAACAACGGAUCUCUUGGUUCUGGCAUCGAUGAAGAACGCAGCGAAAUGCGAUAAGUAAUGUGAAUUGCAGAAUUCAGUGAAUCAUCGAAUCUUUGAACGCACAUUGCGCCCUCUGGUAUUCCGGAGGGCAUGCCUGUUCGAGCGUCAUUUCAACCCUCAAGCUCUGCUUGGUAUUGGGCAACGUCCGCUGCCGGACGUGCCUUGAAGACCUCGGCGACGGCGUCCUAGCCUCGAGCGUAGUAGUAAAAUAUCUCGCUUUGGAGUGCUGGGCGACGGCCGCCGGACAAUCGACCUUCGGUCUAUUUUUCCAAGGUUGACCUCGGAUCAGGUAGGGAUACCCGCUGAACUUAAGCAUAUCAAUAAGCGGAGGAAAAGAAACCAACAGGGAUUGCCUUAGUAACGGCGAGUGAAGCGGCAAUAGCUC